UCCAUCUCCAAUUUAUACCCGACCCUCC
RNAcentral lists this small RNA (28 nucleotides) under Bombyx mori (domestic silkworm). RNAcentral's name for it is "ovarian small RNA-26967". The record is from RNAcentral. Lineage: Eukaryota; Metazoa; Arthropoda; Insecta; Lepidoptera; Bombycidae.